UGCGUCUUAGCUCAGCUGGGAGAGCAUCUGCCUUACAAGCAGAGGGUCAUAGGUUCGAGCCCUAUAGGCCCCA
This 73-nucleotide transfer RNA is filed under the name Lachnospiraceae bacterium. RNAcentral's name for it is "tRNA-Val". It matches the Rfam family "tRNA". Rfam says of the family: Transfer RNA (tRNA) molecules are approximately 80 nucleotides in length. Their secondary structure includes four short double-helical elements and three loops (D, anti-codon, and T loops). Further hydrogen bonds mediate the characteristic L-shaped molecular structure. tRNAs have two regions of fundamental functional importance: the anti-codon, which is responsible for specific mRNA codon recognition, and the 3' end, to which the tRNAs corresponding amino acid is attached (by aminoacyl-tRNA synthetases). tRNAs cope with the degeneracy of the genetic code in two manners: having more than one tRNA (with a specific anti-codon) for a particular amino acid; and 'wobble' base-pairing, i.e. permitting non-standard base-pairing at the 3rd anti-codon position. The record is from RNAcentral. Lineage: Bacteria; Bacillati; Bacillota; Clostridia; Lachnospirales; Lachnospiraceae.